RNAcentral lists this non-coding RNA (148 nucleotides) under Homo sapiens (human). Lineage: Eukaryota; Metazoa; Chordata; Mammalia; Primates; Hominidae. The record is from Rfam by way of RNAcentral.
GCCGGGCGUGCUGGUGCGUGCCUGUAAUCCCAGCUACUGGGGAGGCUGAGGCAGGGGAAUCGCUUGAACCCGGGAGGCAGAGGCUGCAGUGAGCCGAGAUCGCGCCACUGCACUCCAGCCUGGGCGACAGAGCGAGACUCCGUCUCAA